This is a long non-coding RNA of Drosophila rhopaloa, 409 nucleotides long. RefSeq lists it as uncharacterized. NCBI's taxonomy places the organism in Eukaryota, Metazoa, Arthropoda, Insecta, Diptera, Drosophilidae. The record is from RefSeq and is a predicted model, not a curated record. The transcript is spliced from 2 exons.
UCUGUUCCGGUGAAAAAAUCUGUAUAAAUUCUUACUUUUUCGCAACCUCCAGAAUAAGUCGAUAAGGGAUGGAUUUGAAAUUAAUUUUCACUGCCUGCGCUUUCGUGGCACUUUGCACUGUUUCUAUUGCCUACGAUAAGGAGAAAUGUGACGCUCCUCCAACCAAGCGAGGCGUUUGUACUGCCCGAUUUCGAAGGUGGGUCUUCAAGGAUAAGAAAUGUGAACGGAUUUCCUUCGGUGGAUGUUUUCCAACAGAAAACUAUUUUCGUUCACUUGAAGAAUGUGAGGCGUCAUGCAUUGAUUUAAUCGUAAAUCGUAUGGGAUAAAACAUAAAAUCCAUAAAUCUAAUCAAGUCCAUUUGGUUUUGAAAAACUUAACAAAUAAACUAGAUAUUUCUUAAAGCAUUGAA